Molecule: unclassified non-coding RNA, 279 nt
Filed under: Volvariella sp.
Lineage: Eukaryota; Fungi; Basidiomycota; Agaricomycetes; Agaricales; Pluteaceae
Description: partial internal transcribed spacer region
Rfam family: Eukaryotic small subunit ribosomal RNA (bases 1-46)
Source: RNAcentral
AAGUCGUAACAAGGUUUCCGUAGGUGAACCUGCGGAAGGAUCAUUAACGAAUUCGAAACAAAGCGCCCGGCGGCUGAUGCUGGCCCCUCGGGGCACGUGCACGCCUCGGGCGCCUUCAAUUCGCUCCAAACCCCCUUCCCCCUUGUGCACUCCGCGUAGCGCCCGUCUUUUGGCGGCCUACGAGUUUUUACACAACCCCGAUCGCAUGUGUCGUGAGCGCAGCCUUUUUGAUGUGAAAUAACACAAACACAACUUUCAACAACGGAUCUCUUGGCUCUC